GAUGAACGCUGGCGGCGUGCCUAAUACAUGCAAGUCGAGCGAACAGACGAGGAGCUUGCUCCUCUGACGUUAGCGGCGGACGGGUGAGUAACACGUGGAUAACCUACCUAUAAGACUGGGAUAACUUCGGGAAACCGGAGCUAAUACCGGAUAAUAUAUUGAACCGCAUGGUUCAAUAGUGAAAGACGGUUUUGCUGUCACUUAUAGAUGGAUCCGCGCCGCAUUAGCUAGUUGGUAAGGUAACGGCUUACCAAGGCAACGAUGCGUAGCCGACCUGAGAGGGUGAUCGGCCACACUGGAACUGAGACACGGUCCAGACUCCUACGGGAGGCAGCAGUAGGGAAUCUUCCGCAAUGGGCGAAAGCCUGACGGAGCAACGCCGCGUGAGUGAUGAAGGUCUUCGGAUCGUAAAACUCUGUUAUUAGGGAAGAACCAAUGUGUAAGUAACUAUGCACGUCUUGACGGUACCUAAUCAGAAAGCAACGGCUAACUACGUG
RNAcentral lists this ribosomal RNA (497 nucleotides) under uncultured bacterium. RNAcentral describes it as "partial 16S ribosomal RNA". It matches the Rfam family "Bacterial small subunit ribosomal RNA", at positions 28 to 507 of the family's 1533-position model. The record is from RNAcentral.